Molecule: ribosomal RNA, 253 nt
Filed under: uncultured bacterium
Lineage: Bacteria
Description: partial 16S ribosomal RNA
Rfam family: Bacterial small subunit ribosomal RNA
Source: RNAcentral
UACGGAGGGUGCAAGCGUUAAUCGGAAUUACUGGGCGUAAAGCGUGCGUAGGUGGUUCGUUAAGUCCGUUGUGAAAGCCCCGAGCUCAACUUGGGAAUUGCAGUGGAUACUGGCGAGCUAGAGUGCGGUAGAGGAAGGUGGAAUUCCCGGUGUAGCGGUGAAAUGCGUAGAGAUCGGGAGGAACACCAGUGGCGAAGGCGGUUCUCUGGGCCUGUACUGACGCUGAGGAGCGAAAGCGUGGGGAGCGAACAGG